UCUGCCCAGUCGUGGGGAUACGUAGGGAAACUUACGCUAAUACCGCAUGCGCCCUUCGGGGGAAAGCCGGGGACCUUCGGGCCUGGCGCGAUUGGAUGAGCCCAUGUCGGAUUAGCUAGUUGGCGGGGUAAUGGCCCACCAAGGCGACGAUCCGUAGCUGGUCUGAGAGGAUGAUCAGCCACACUGGAACCUGACGACACGGUCCAGACUCCUACGGGAGGCAGCAGUAGGGAAUAUUGGACAAUGGGCGCAAGCCUGAUCCAGCCAUGCCGCGUGAGUGAAGAAGGCCCUCGGGUUGUAAAGCUCUUUUGUCCGGAAAGAAAAGCGCCGGGUUAAUACCCUGGUGUCCUGACGGUACCGGAAGAAUAAGCACCGGCUAACUUCGUG
This 387-nucleotide ribosomal RNA is filed under the name uncultured bacterium. RNAcentral describes it as "bacterial SSU rRNA". It matches the Rfam family "Bacterial small subunit ribosomal RNA", at positions 125 to 507 of the family's 1533-position model. The record is from RNAcentral.